Molecule: ribosomal RNA, 253 nt
Filed under: uncultured bacterium
Lineage: Bacteria
Description: partial 16S ribosomal RNA
Rfam family: Bacterial small subunit ribosomal RNA
Source: RNAcentral
UACGUAGGGGGCAAGCGUUGUCCGGAAUCACUGGGCGUAAAGCGCGCGCAGGCGGCGAUCUACGUCUGGGGUGAAAGCCCGGAGCUCAACUCCGGGAUUGCCUUGGAUACGGGGUCGCUUGAGGAUCGGAGAGGCAAGGGGAAUUCCACGUGUAGCGGUGAAAUGCGCAGAUAUCAGGAGGAACACCAAUAGCGAAGGCAGCUCGCUGGGACGGUACUGACGCUAAGGCGCGAAAGCGUGGGGAGCGAACAGG